RNAcentral lists this unclassified non-coding RNA (291 nucleotides) under uncultured fungus. RNAcentral's name for it is "partial contains 5.8S rRNA, ITS2 and 28S rRNA". It matches the Rfam family "Eukaryotic large subunit ribosomal RNA", at positions 668 to 961 of the family's 3401-position model. The record is from RNAcentral. Lineage: Eukaryota; Fungi.
AAGGAGUCUAACAUGUGUGCGAGUAUUUGGGUGGCAAGCCCUUAUGCGCAAUGAAAGUGAAGCGAGGGAGCCGGAAAUUCUGGCGCACCUUGUGCCGAUCUUGAUAUCUCUUGAUGGAUUUGAGUAGGAGCACAAAUGUUGGGACCCGAAAGAUGGUGAACUAUGCCUGAAUAGGGCGAAGCCAGAGGAAACUCUGGUGGAGGCUCGUAGCCGUUCUGACGUGCAAAUCGAUGGUCAAAUUUGGGUAUAGGGGCGAAAGACUAAUCGAACCAUCUAGUAGCUGGUUCCUUC